UGCAGGUGCACAUACAGAGAAGACACCAGAGAGUCCAGGAACCAACUCUGCCAGUGCUCAGCUGCUGCCUACAGAUGCACCCAAGUGCUGUCAACUCACCAGCUAAAGGAGGAGGACAUUCACUCAGCUGAGGUUUUACACUGCCCUGAGCUGGAGCUGAUUUUCAGUCUGAACAGGGCAGGACUCGCAGGCACGUUGCCUCAGGUUUGGCAGCAGCACAGUCACACUCCUACAAAAGCCUAUUCCAGUUAAUUAGAGCGUUGCCUUUCAGC
This 272-nucleotide long non-coding RNA is filed under the name Parus major (Great Tit). RNAcentral's name for it is "lncRNA (ENSPMJG00000006579.1)". Lineage: Eukaryota; Metazoa; Chordata; Aves; Passeriformes; Paridae. The record is from RNAcentral.